GAAGAAGCUCGAGGAUAAAGCUGGAGAUAAGAAGGAAGUCAUGCACGUCUAAGACUCUCACAUGACUUGUGAGGAGAGUGGAGAUACUGGACACUCAGGCAAUCACUGUCCUGAGAUGCUUGAGGACGUAAACUACAAAAACAACUACUACUACAACCGUCCUAAACAAAAUCAAGGCUGGAAACAAGAGAGGCCUAACUACUCAGACAUGUUUGAUAUAGGUAACUACUGGAGUAACCCUGUUGUGGAAGUAACUACUGACCUUCUGCCGGUCAAGAGAGGCGAUCCAGGACGCCCAGUCAUCCCGAUCUCCAUCGGCAUGGUGGACUUCCCAGAAGCACUCUGCGACUUUGGCUCCAGCGUCAACAUUAUGCCCAGGGUACUCUAUGAAAAAUUCUUUACACAUCCUUUAUUAGAAACAACCAUGUGUUUGCAGCUUGUAGAUCAGACACUAAGUUUCCCAAAGGGAAUAUUGAAGAACCUCUGCGUCCGAGUUGGUACCUUGUACGCCCCAGCAGACUUCGUGGUGAUAGAGACUGGUACUGAUGAGAGGGCACCCAUCAUCCUAGGGAGGCCAUUCCUGAACACCUCGGGAGCUGUCAUCUAUGCUAGUGCUGCCAAGAUCAGUUUCUACAUCAAGGGGAGGAAGGGGACGUUUCCCAGAGCAAUCCCGUCAUGAACCAAGGAAGAGGACCAAUAGGAGGAAUAGAAACAAGCAAGUGUGGACCGAGUCAGCUAAGAUGGUCACUGCAGUUGAUGGAGGUCAAGAUCAUCGACUCAAGUCACCGUUCCUGACCAAGAAGGACGACCCAGGUAUGCCAAGCAUCGAGUGCUCCAUUAUUGUAUACAACUUCGAGAAGACGCUUUGCGACACCGAGUCGGGCGUCAACAUAAUGGACACAGUCACCUAUCAGCUCCUGUUCAGAACCAUGCCCCUAAAACCAACAUACAUUCAGCUCCAAAUGGUAGAUCAUACUUUCCAAAUGGUUGAAGGUAUAGUAACUGAUGUCCCUAUCAAAAUAGACGAUCAUUUUGUCCAUAUAGAUUUUCAGGUUAUUGACAUGGGAGAAGACGAGUACGAUCCACCCAUCAUCCUUGGGAGACCGUUCUUCAGCACCGUUAAAGCAAUCAUCUACAUUGGAACUGGAGAAGUCCACAUGCACUUCCCCUCUAAGAAGGUACGCCGCUAUUUUACUAACCCUAACUGUAUAGUUGAAGACUCUAAGUAGGUCAGGACAAAAAGAAGACGACGCAACCGCAACCAGAGAAGGCAAAUCAUCAAGGACGGAUGGGCAGACUAUGAAGGAGAAGUGGUAAGGUCUAAAAACAUAUAGCUUGAACAGAACUAUCCUGAGGAGACCGUAGCACCGAGUCAGGUGUGGAGAGAGAAGAUGAGGCGCCGCCGGAACCACCGACUACGCCAUCCAACGAAUCCCAGGACGACUGAGAAAACAGAGAGUCCUGUUCGGAGGACUUAAAAACAACGAACGCCUUGCCAAGAGGUAAACUUGGUAGUUAUCCCUUUCCUUUCAAAUCAUUUACUUUUUCUUAAAAAUAGUUUGCUUAGUUAAUCGGGUUCAUAUCAUCUUAAAAAAAAAUAAACAUGUUAAAACCAGUAAGACCCAUGUGAGUAUACAAGUGGCAUAAAACCCAUAAGUAUAUUCACUGUGGUGGCAUAAAAAAAUAAUAAAAUAAAAAUAUUCUUCUGCUCUAUAAAAAAUGAAAAUAUAAAAAUAAAAUUGUGAUCCUACCAAAGAAAGUAGCAUUUAUUGAGGAGGCUCAACAUGAUAAAGGCUAGAUAUUUAUGCUAACACCUAAUCAGUUCCACAAAGCUUUGUUGUCUAUUUGAGCUCCACAGAAUUCAAGGAUCAAGAAGACUAGCAGACGGAGGACAUUCUAAUCGCUGUCAGGGUGCUGCCGACGUUCAAAUACACCUCCACCACCUGCUAGCUACAUCAGAAGAAAUUUCGUCAAAAUCCAGCUUGGGGGAUCGCACCCCAUUUAUCCUGCUAAGUAUUUUUAUCUACAUUUGUAUUAUGCUAUAUUAAAAAAAUAAAAAAAAUAUAUACAUAACCAUGAAAAACCAAAUAAAGAUUUUGUGCUUAUAUAUAUAUCUUUUGCUUAGUGUGCUUAAUAAAUAAAUAAAAUGGCUAUGCUAAACUAAAUCUUAAUAAAACUCUAGCAUGGAUAUGAUGAAUAGUUGCUCUGCCUAAUUUUCAAAUUUGAGUUCUCUCUCUAGUUUAGACAUAACUGUUAUAAUUUAAAGAUUGCUCUAAAAACCUGAACUUGUGGGAAGAGAACUUGAUCGGAAGUCUAAGUUAUUAACGGAUAUGAUAUGGGAAGGUUGAGCUGCUGUUUAUCUAUUCCUAGAGAUGCUAGAAUUCUGGAGAAUUUUAUCUUUGAAAAUCUUUAAAAUAUCACAUGAUGAGUUCCUGUAUGAUGAGAGUUUAAAUUCCUACCACAGCCAUAUAUACAUGCUUGCUAGACUUUGAGCCACACAUUUACUUUUUACUGCUUAUGAGCAUUGAGUGUGGUCAAGCUGUGUAGACCCUUAGGAGCUUGUCAUGUGGUUAAAUCAAGAUUCACUUGCACGUUCACUCACACAUGCUGCUUCUACUCCGGGAGUACGCAUUCACAUAUAUCCACUCAUUUCCAUCUCUAGAGCCACCCAAAAGUAUUCUACUCCUAAUCCGGGAGAGAAUAGCCAAAAACAUUCUCCUAUUUCUAUUUUUCCCUGUGAAAUAAAUGCUCGAGUUAUCUUGGUUACCACCACUUGCUAUAUUAUUUUAGGAAAUGAGUGCUCUAAAAACAGAGAGAGAGAAAGGAUAUGAGGAAAUAAAAAGGGGCAAGUGCCCGGAACCUUGAAAGAAAAGAAAAAGUGUGACGAGAGGUAAAAAUGGACAAGUGUCCGAUAGUAGAAUUAGGGGUGCAAUACCCACCUGAGAGGAAAGAAAAAGAAAAUGUAGAGCAUCUCAUUCCCCUCAAAAGUCUCAAGUGCAAGGAAGGUAUGUAUCCCCUCAAAAAAAAGAAGAAUUAGACUUUCACCAUUGUUAUCACCAUCAUCACCAUACACCAUUCAUUCACCACACAUGCACAUCUUGAUUUGACUUAUUGACUUGUUUCUCUGGAUCCAUGGUUUGACUAUGCAAUAAAUGUCUUGUAAGUAUGUAUACUUUAUCUCCCACCUAUGAGCUCGAGAUAUCAAAACCCUUAUUAAAGUAGGGUGAGAGAGAAGGCAAGGUCACUGUUGACGGUCCUUAAGUAUCAAAUUUAAUUAUCAAAUAAAUAAAGAAAAGGAUCUAAAUGCAACCAACACCCAGACUUAGGGUUUUAUCUGACAGAAUUCCACGAGUUUUGGUGUUUGUCUAUUUCUACAGGGGGUUAUCAGGAAAUACGGAAGAAAGGCCCACAUGUCGGGAUUACAUAGAGAUAUCAACGCACCGCGUAAUUUUCUACCAUCUAGAAGACUCCAGAAGCCACGAGACCGAAGCGGAGGCGAAACGGGGCCAGGACCUGGGCGCCCGCCCACCUGUCGAGCCCAAUCAGGACUCUUUCUCUCGGGAGAUCUCCACCGACCUAUUGGAUCAAGGAAAACAUAGUACCACCUCGCCUACCGACCCAAAAACGCAUAGAGGAGGAGGACUAUAUAAGGAGACCCCCCUGGCCCCUAGAGAAGACAAGAAAUUGUCAUAGAGAUUGAGGGGUGCCCUCGAAGGAAAACCUCUUCUCUAAUUAAUAUUUCUUUUUAGGCUUAGCAACCAAUGUAAGGUAGAAAUAGAUCUUCUAGUUUUUACUAGAUUGAGAGAGAUAGAGUGGAGGUGUAGAUUGGAGGAAGCCCGGCCUGUCGGUGUCUACUCCAAGCUUGUACCUGCGGGAUCAAGUUCUCCUAACCCGAAGCUUGCUCCUAGGAUUCUUCAGUAUUUCGACUUCUAAAUUCUAGUAAGUUCUUGUUUUAUUGUUCUUAUGGUUUAUGAGUUUACUUUAAUCUCUUCGCGUAGAGUUUAGAGUAACCAUUACUGGCGUAAACGUGGUGUUUAGGCUGGGGUACUCAUAGAUAUUCCCUGACUAGCUGGACCGUGGUAGUAGUGAGGAACGUGACAAUUACGAGUUACCUUUGCAGAUCACAUCUCGUUAGCAGGAAGGAUAGGGUUUAUAGGUGCGGGUUGAACAUCCUUUGUGGUGUCUAGAUUCCGUUAGCCUCCCCAUUAGAACAGUAGAUCAUCCUUACCAAGGUUAGAAGGAGACUACGGUUGCAGUCUUCUCUAUUUAUCACUCACAUCGAGAGACAUUCUUUGUAGCCUAAAGGGAUAGUAGCAAUAGAUUUGGUUAGUCAGAUGCACCCUUUCUCCUAGUGGUAAAAAUAUAAAUACGAUAACUCUGGAUAACCUUCCGGGUGAAAUGCUCACCGAUAUCCGUGCGCUUGCGGAUCAUUUCCUUAUUGCGUUACCAAAUAUCAACAAGCAUUUCUGGCGCCGUUGCCGGGGAGAAAGACGGUUUGCUGAGAUAACUUUGAAUCUUGCUAUUAUCUUGUAUUAUACUUUUAUACUUUUAUUCUUUUAUCUUUUUAUUUUUAUCUUUAUGGAUAACUCAAAUUCCAUACCUAUUAUUAAAUUCUUUGCACCUUUGGAAACCAGCCAUAGACCAUGGGAGUCAACACGUCCUGCCCCUAAUUAUGAUCUGUGUCCGGAGUUGAUUGCAAUGGGUCAAAACCAACCCUUUUCUAUAGCUGAGGUCCUAUCUUUUAAUCAAAAAGAUAAUGCACUUUUAGCUACACCUAGGGAAUCUUUUCAUUUUUCUAUAAAUUUUGGUUUAGACCUAGCUCUACAAGACCAUGUUUUUCCUAGAUAUUUUCACAUUGGUCUUAAUCAUAUAACCUUUGGUAGAGUCUUUCUUUCUUUAUCUAUUAGUAAAGGAAGGUAUGUCUUCAUUCGUAGACAUCCUUCUUGCACUAGUCUUCAUAGAAAAAUCUUAGAGAUAGAGAAGGAAUCAUCUCCCAUACAAGGAGAGGAAGUUUCAAUAGCCGAUUUCCAAACAUUUCAAUCCCAUAAUUCGGCUAUCCAACCCAUCCUUGAGCUUAAUAAUUUCUACUAUGCUUUUUCUCUUGAACCUCCCGAUAAUCCUAUGAAUCUCUCUAGACAUCCCAUGCAUAAGAAGGAGGAUCGAGAAGAGCAACAUGCUAGAGGGCAUUAAAAAUCCAUGUGCUAUCACCAUUGAAUGGAUAGAUAAAACAAACUUGAGAGACAAUCCUAGAGGAAUUUUAAGCAUUCAUGAAGAAUCAUCCUUGGAGUUUGAGAAUGAGAGAAACAACAGUGAGCAUGGAAGUUAUUUCAUAAAUACCUCACCCAGUCCUUGCUCAUAUAAAACAUCUCUCCAAUCAAUUUGUCUCUCCAUCCUUACCACAUUUGAGAUCUCCAACCCCCUCUUCCUCUUCAUUUAUAAAAACUUUAAAAGGGCGGUUGUCGAUGCAUAUGUCUAUAAUAAAUAUUGCAGAUCUCGUUGAGUUGAUCUUGAUAUAGGUAGGUGUUGGAGGGGAAACCACUUCACCAACAUAACUUGAUGGUUUCCCAAGAACAAGCUUAGUGUCCUAAAACAAGCACUUAUCAGAUCAUAACAUGAACUUCUAAUUAUUUGCAACAUUGCCUUGUGUAUUGAGCAUAUAAAGAUAUUGUAUAAAUAUUCCUUCGGGUAUUCUUGUCACUAACCUUUCUAGGAUUGGAGCAAGAAGAUCCGAGGAAUGACAAACACAAGGUAUGUCCAACCAACCAUCACACAACAUUGAAUUAAAUUCAUCCAAACUUGAAUUUUGUAAAAUUCAAGCUUGGGGGAGUACUUUACAUAAAAAACAUCCUUUGCCAUGUUACUAUGUUGGUUGUCCUUACCUUUGAGACAUGCUCAAUUUGUUAAAUACUAAUUACACUACUUCAUCUCCACUUAAGUAGAUCUCUAUAAAUGCUCUCAUGCUACCUUUAUUUGCUUUAGUAUAUGUCUAGGUUUGGAAUAGUUUCAUUUAUCUCUUAAUUAAGCAUGGUGCUUAGUUUAGGAAUGAUGAUCUUACUUCCAAGGGAUUUUAAAUUAAGCAUGGUGCUUAGGUUAAAAUACCCUUCUAAAUCAAAUUAGACAUGGUGUCUAGGUUGAUUUUUAAGCCGAUAGUAUGCUAUAGUAGAUAUGGUAUAUUUUGUUGGACUAACCCCUGCAGGAAAACUUUCAAUAUCAACCUGGGAAGUCCUGAGAUAAACUCGCAUUGGAGAUGAAGAAAGUGACACAUGAAGUUUAACAAUUUGCACAAGAAAGACGUGGCUCAUAAGAGAUGAUUCAUGGAGGGUGCCACAAACACGAUGCACAACCGCUAAGAAAGGAAAGCUUCCACAAGGUGAUACUGUACCGUCACUCUUCAAGUAAGGUAACACCUUAAGGUACUUGACUAUCGCUUUUAUAAGCUUCUCCUUUGUUCUAGCAUUCACAUAAAUAAAGAGACAAACAUGUAUGAUUUAUAACUCCAGAUUAACCAACUCAAUUAAUUCAACAUGUUUAGUCCUUUAAUCUCUGUUCUUAGUACUACCUUCGUGAUCCCACGCUCCUAAACAUAUAAGCUAAUAUGUUGCGCAUUCAAUAUUUGGAAGAUAUAAACAAAACAUAAACAUAGAUAGAUUAUCUUUCCAUUAGGUUGAGCCAUCUGAUCUGACAAAUGUUUCAAAUACUACACUCAUGAUCUUAUUAUCCAUCAACUUUGUCUUGCUCACUAUGCUUAAGGUUAGAGAAGAACAAAUACACUUUUGGUUCUGUUGGUGUCUUCCACCAACAGAGCCCAUGCACUUGAUCUCUGCCUUGUCUCUAUGAACAGGUACACUUCAAGCAAAACAUGGAGGAGUUCUACAACUCCCAGACUCCACCAAGUGAAGGACCUGGAUCUAUGAGCACAAGCACACUGAGCAGAAUAUUGCCAACACCAUACUUCGAACUGCUGGGCAAAGAAGAACAUGGGUGACACCGUAUCAAGAGGUGCAGACGUCAAGGUCCACACCUAAUCAAAUGAUGCACCUAAAGGAUGAAGAUGGUGGAAAGUCUUGUCCAGAAGACUUAAAACAUUAGAUCCUUGUCGGAAGAGGUCAACAUCGUCGACUCAAGUCACCUUUCUUGAUCAAGAAGGACGACCCUGGUGUUCCAAGCAUCGAGUGUGCAAUCAAUGGAUACUCUUUUCAGAAGACACUCUACGACACCGGAUCUGACGACAACAUAAUGGCCGUAGUCACUUAUCAGCUCCUGCAUGGAACCAUGCCCCUACAACCAAUAUAUUGAGCUCCAGAUGAUUUUCAGGUCAUUGACAUGAGAGAAGACGAAUAUGAUCCACCCACCAUCCUUGGAAGACCGUUCCUCAACACUAUCAAAGCAAUCAUCUAUAUUGGAACCGGAGAAGUCCACAUGUACUUCCCCUCUGAGAAGGUACGCAAUUAUUUUACUGACCAUAACUAUAUAGUUGAAGACUCUAAGCAGGUCAGGACAAGAAGACGACGCAACCAGAGGAGGCAAAUCAUCAAGAACGGAUGGGUAGACUACGAAGGAGAAGUGAUAAGGACUGAAGACAUACAGCUUGAACAGAACUGUCCUGAGGAGACCAUAGCACCGAGUCAGGUGUGGAGGGAGAAGAUAGUUAUACACGAAGAUAGGCGCCGCCGGAAUCACCGACUACGCCACCUAGCGAAUCCCAGGACGACUGAGAAAACAGAGAGUCUCGUUCGGAGGACAUAAAAAUACCGAACGCGUUGCCAAGAGGUAAACUUGGUAGUUACCCUUUCCUUUCGAUUAUUCAAUUAUAAUUUGCUUAGUUAAUCAGGUUCAUGCUAUCUUGAAAAGAAAAUAAAAAUGUUAAAUAGUAAGCCCCAUGUGAGUAUGCUCAUGGCAUAAAACCUAUAAGUACAUUCACUGUGGUGGCAUAAAAAAUAAAAUAAAUAAGUUUUCAUCUUACAAUAAAGAAAAUAAUAAAUAAAUAAUAAUAAUAAUAAUAAUAAUAAUAAUAAUAAGUGUAUGAUCCUGCUAAAUAAAUAACAUUUAUUAAGGAAGCUCAACAUGAUGAAGGCUAGAUAUUUAUGCUAACACUUAAUUAGUUCCACAAGCUUUGUUGUCUAUUUGAGCUCCACAAUUUAAGAAUCAAGAAGACUAGCAGACGGAGGACAUUCUAAUCGCUGUCAGAAUGCUGCUGACUUUCAAAUACACCUCUGCCACCUGCUAGCUACAUCAACAGAAAUUACGUCAAAAUUCAGCUUGGGGGAGAGCACCCCCAUUAUUCUCGCUAAGUAUUUCUACCUAUCUUUAUAUUAUGUUAGAAUAUUAAAAUACAUAAACUAUGAAAAAAAAUAAAGAUUUUGUGCUUAUAUAUAUCUUUUGCUUAGUAUGUUUAAUAAAUAAAUAAAGUGGCUAUGCUAGUCUGAAUUUUAAUAAUAAAACUCUAGCAUGGAUAUGAUGAAUAGUUGCUCUGCCUAAUUUGCAAUUUUGAAGUUCCCUCUCAAGUUUAGACAUAACUGUUAUAAUUUAAAGCUUGCUCUAGAUCUAAACUUGUGGGAUAAAAACUUGAUCUGAAAUCUAAGUUGUUAACGGAUAUGAUAUGGGAAGGUUGAGCUGCUGUUUAUCUGUUCCUAGAGAUGCUAGAAUUCUGGAGAAUUUUAUCUUUGAAAAAUCAUUAAAAUAUGCUAGAAUUCUGGAGAAUUUUAUCUUUGAAAAAUCAUUAAAAUAUUGCAUGAUGAGUUCCUGUAUUAUGAGAGUUUAAAUUCCAACCACAGCCAUAUGUACAUGCUUAUUAGACUAUGAACCAUACAUUUACUUUUUACUGCUUAUGAGCAUUGAGUGUGGUCAAGCUGUGUAGACUCUUAGGAGCUUGUCAUGUGGUUAAAUCAAGAUUCACUUGCACGUUCACUCAUAUAUGCUACUUCUACUCCGGAAGUACCAUCCACAUAUAUCCAUCCAUUUCCAUCUCCAGAAUCACCCAAAAAUAUUCUACUCCUAAUCCGGGAGAGAAUAGUCAAAAACAUUUUCCUAUCCCUGUUAUUCCCUGUGAAAUAAAUGCUCCAAAUAUUUUGGUUACUACCACUUGCUAUAUUAUCUCAAGAGAUGAGUGCUCUGAAAAAAAAGAAAAAAAGAAAAAAAAUAUAAACGAGGAAAUAAAAAGGGGCAAGUGCCCGGAACCUCGAAAGAAAGAAAAAGUGAGACGAGAGGUAAAAAUGGACAAGUGUCCGACAGUAGAAUUAGGGGUUGUUGAUGCAAAACUGGUCUGCAAACACAAAGGGCUAAUACCCGAUUUAAACGUUAAGGCGUGCCAGCCGAUUUGACCUUGCUAUCGGCAAAGGUGAUAACUCGAAUACUUUAGUCGUGACAACAGCGAUGCGCCCGGAUGUCACAGCUAAGAGGUACUCACGCGGAACUUGAGAACACGCUGAGCUUAAGUCGACGAAUUCCUAAGAACUCGUAACAAAAGGAAAAAGUAUGACGAAGUCGUCAAAAAGUAAAUGCUGGAAUACGAGUAAAAACGUGUGUUUGAUUUCUUGAUUGAUUAUCUAUUACAAGGCCCUAGGGUCUACAUUUAUACCCUGCUCAAAGAGCUACAACCAGACACGAUUAGAAUUCGAAUUCCAAAUUACACGGAAUCCGUAUACAAAACGAUGUAAAUAAUUAAGGAAAUAACAAAACUAUCCCUCGUGACAAACCGAAACUCCUCCACAUAACGACCGUCAGCUUCCGGACUCCCUCUUUGCAUCAUCGGCAGACCCUUUGCCAUAGUCAUCGGCAGACUUUCUUAUCUAGCCAUCGGCACCAUAUUACUGCCUGUGGACUUAAUCACGUUCAACCUCUCCCUCAUCGGCAACCAUCCUCAUCGGCAACCCACUUUGUAAACAUCGUACUGCCACCUUAUCCUGCCAUCCCAGACACGUGCCCAAAAACGGUGUCAACACAUGCCCCCCAGUUUCGGAGUAUAAAACUAUUAAUGCUCCGAAAUUCUCUGCAGUAAUGAUGCCUUUUCCCGCAAUUAAUGCUCCUAAUCUGGUAACCGACAACCUCAAUCUGAACAACUCUGAUCCU
RNAcentral lists this long non-coding RNA (10068 nucleotides) under Sorghum bicolor (sorghum). RNAcentral describes it as "long non-coding RNA (SBIC_LNC017499)". The record is from RNAcentral. Lineage: Eukaryota; Viridiplantae; Streptophyta; Magnoliopsida; Poales; Poaceae.